RNAcentral lists this transfer RNA (75 nucleotides) under Ignavibacteria bacterium. Its description in RNAcentral is "tRNA-His". It matches the Rfam family "tRNA". From Rfam's summary of the family: Transfer RNA (tRNA) molecules are approximately 80 nucleotides in length. Their secondary structure includes four short double-helical elements and three loops (D, anti-codon, and T loops). The record is from RNAcentral. Lineage: Bacteria; Pseudomonadati; Ignavibacteriota; Ignavibacteria.
GCGGGCUUAGCUCAGUUGGUAGAGCAUCAGAUUGUGGCUCUGAGGGUCGUGGGUUCGAGCCCCAUAGCUCGCCCA